UGGGAUACCACCCUUGUAGUACUGGGACUCUAACCAUAGGCCAUGAAUCUGGUCUUGGGACACUGUCAGGUGGGCAGUUUGACUGGGGCGGUCGCCUCCCAAAAGGUAACGGAGGCGCUCAAAGGUUCUCUCAGUACGGUCGGAAAUCGUACGUAGAGUGUAAAGGCAAAAGAGAGCUUGAUUGCAAGACAUACAGGUCGAGCAAGGAUGAAAAUCGGACUUAGUGAUCCGGUGGUUCUGCGUGGAAGGGCCAUCGCUCAACGGAUAAAAGCUACCCUGGGGAUAACAGGCUUAUCUCCCCCAAGAGUCCACAUCGACGGGGAGGUUUGGCACCUCGAUGUCGGCUCAUCACAUCCUGGGGCUGUAGUAGGUCCCAAGGGUUGGGCUGUUCGCCCAUUAAAGUGGUACGCGAGCUGGGUUCAGAACGUCGUGAGACAGUUCGGUCCCUAUCCGUCGCAGGCGUAGGAAAUUUGAGAAGACCUGUCCUUAGUACGAGAGGACCGGGAUGGACGUACCUCUGGUGUACCAGUUGUCCUGCCAAGGGCAUGGCUGGGUAGCUAUGUACGGAAUGGAUAAGCGCUGAAAGCAUCUAAGCGCGAAGCCAACUUCAAGAUAAGAUUUCCCACCGCAAGGGUAAGACCCCAGAAAGACUAUCUGGUUGAUAGGUCGAAGGUGUAAGUGCAGCAAUGUAUUUAGCUUAUCGAUACUAAUAGGUCGAGGACUUGACCAA
RNAcentral lists this ribosomal RNA (730 nucleotides) under Clostridioides difficile. Its description in RNAcentral is "partial 23S ribosomal RNA". It matches the Rfam family "Bacterial large subunit ribosomal RNA", at positions 2193 to 2925 of the family's 2925-position model. The record is from RNAcentral. Lineage: Bacteria; Bacillati; Bacillota; Clostridia; Peptostreptococcales; Peptostreptococcaceae.